GAUGAACGCUGGCGGCGUGCCUAACACAUGCAAGUCGAACGAACGGACGAGAAGCUUGCUUGUCUGAUGUUAGCGGCGGACGGGAGAGUAACACGUGGAUAACCUACCUCUAAGACUGGGAUAACUUCGGGAAACCGGAGCUAAUACCGGAUAAUAUUUUGAACCGCAUUGUUCACACGUGAAAGUCGGUCUUUCUGUCACUUAUAGAUGGAUCCGCGCUGCAUUAGCUAGUUGGUAAGGUAAUGGCUUACCAAGGCAACGAUGCAUAGCCGACCUGAGCGCGUGAUUGCCCACACUGGAAGUGAGACAGGGCCCAGACUCCUGCGGGAGGCAGCAGCAGGGAAUCUUCCGCAAAGGGGGAAAGCCUGACGGAGGAACGCGGCGGGAGGGAUGAAGGUCUUCGGAUCGGAAAGCUCUGUUAUUAGGGAAGAACAUAUGUGUAAGUAACUGGGCAGAUAGUGACGGUACCGAAUCAGAAAGCCCCGGCUAACUACGUG
RNAcentral lists this ribosomal RNA (497 nucleotides) under uncultured bacterium. Its description in RNAcentral is "partial 16S ribosomal RNA". It matches the Rfam family "Bacterial small subunit ribosomal RNA", at positions 28 to 507 of the family's 1533-position model. The record is from RNAcentral.